This is a long non-coding RNA of Onychostoma macrolepis, 1144 nucleotides long. RefSeq lists it as uncharacterized. The record is from RefSeq and is a predicted model, not a curated record. NCBI's taxonomy places the organism in Eukaryota, Metazoa, Chordata, Actinopteri, Cypriniformes, Cyprinidae. The transcript is spliced from 4 exons.
AUUAUAAUGACUACAUGCUGAUUUUGUCAUUCCCUCUUUUCCAGAAAUCCUCAGAUCAGACUCCGAUAAAAACACGUCAGAAAUCCUCCAAGAAUAAAACACAUUUAAGUCCGGUACCCUACCAAUGCAGAAUAUGUGCAGGUUUUCUUCUUGGGAAAUAUUACUUUCCUUAAGAAUCUAGAAGGAAAUGGCUAUUUAUGGUACCAGUUCCUCAAACACAAAUUCAGAGCAAGGAGAAUAAUGCUGUCUGAAGAAACUCCAGGAUCAUAUCCCAGAUCUAUGUUAGGGGUCACCGGAGCCACCCAGAUUCAGUCCGAAUCCAAACCAGAUGGUGGAUCAGCACCUAGAGAUGACCUUUACAGCCCUGAACUUCAGCAGAGACCAGGACACCUAGAUGAGCCCCAGAUACUGAUCCCCAGUUAAGACCAUGUCACUUAGACGGCCAUCGGGACAAGACCACAGGAACCAGAUGAGUCCUCUGCACAAUCUGACUUUGUUGCAGCCUAGAAUUAAACUUCUGGUUUCAUCUGGCCAGAGGAGAACGAUGGGGUUUUGGUUCCUUCAACACACUGUUUUCCUGUUUAAUACUUUAAAGCUGCUUUGACACAAUCUGUAUUGUAAAAAGUGCUAUAUAAAUAAUGGUGAUUUGAUUUGCUGCAGUUUAAUUGCUUGACCUCUUUAUUUCGGAUUCUGAUUUCUGACCUCUUUAUUUCGGAUUCUGAUUAAAUUAAUUUCCUUGAUGUGAAUGUGCCUUUACUGAAUAUCUUUCAAAAUGGUCAUGAAAAAAUGAAGCUCAAAUCAGAAUUUUUUUUUUUUUUGUGCAUUUGACUUUGAACUAAUUUUUUUAUUUGGCUGCAGUAGGAAUUUGUUGCUAUUGAAGAUACAACCUCAUGUAAAUGCCUUGGAUAUUUAGUGUAAUUUGUAUUCAGUGAUGUGACCAAGAGACCUUGAUUGUCAAAGCUAUAUGAUGUCUGUGUGGUGAGCUUUUAAAUUCAGUGUCUUAUGCAUUUCCAUGCAUUCAAGUUGAACCGAAUAGAGUAUAAUUAUACCAGGAAAUGGACUUUUAGGCCCUUGACACAUAAGUUGUACAUUUAAAAUAAAACAUGUAGUCCUUUUUUUUUUUUUUUUAGAAAAAGUUAAAUUG